Molecule: ribosomal RNA, 460 nt
Filed under: uncultured bacterium
Lineage: Bacteria
Description: partial 16S ribosomal RNA
Rfam family: Bacterial small subunit ribosomal RNA
Source: RNAcentral
CCUACGGGGGGCAGCAGUGAGGAAUAUUGGUCAAUGGGCGCGAGCCUGAACCAGCCAAGUAGCGUGAAGGAUGACUGCCCUACGGGUUGUAAACUUCUUUUAUAAAGGGAUAAAGUGAAGCACGUGUGCCUUUUUGCAUGUACUUUAUGAAUAAGGAUCGGCUAACUCCGUUCCAGCGGCCGCGGUAAUACGGAAGGUCCGAGCGUUAUCCGGAUUUAUUUGGUUUAAAGGGAGCGCAGAUGGGUUGUUAAGUCAGUUGUGAAAGUUUUGGGCUCAACCGUAAAAUUGCAAUUGAUACUGGCAGUCUUGAGUACAGUAGAGGUAGGCGGAAUUCGUGGUGUAGCGGUGAAAUGCGUAGAGAUCACGAAGAACUCCGAUUGCGAAGGCAGCCUACUAAACUGCCACUGACGUUGAGGCUCGAAAGUGUGGGUAUCAAACAGGAUUAGAUACCCUAGUAGUC